This 721-nucleotide long non-coding RNA is filed under the name Rattus norvegicus (Norway rat). RNAcentral describes it as "long non-coding RNA NONRATT015176". Lineage: Eukaryota; Metazoa; Chordata; Mammalia; Rodentia; Muridae. The record is from RNAcentral.
UUAUCCAAUUCCUGUGCACUGCUAUGGGAGGUGGCAUUUUCAAGGCAGUUUAGAUCGGCAGAAGCUUAUGGAGGUGCAGACACAAUUGAAAUUAAUGCUACAGGAAGUAGAAAGGAGCGACAUGAAUUGGAUCACUUACUCUGAUUAAAUUACACAGUCCAACAAAGUUUCAACUUGAUAUGUCCCCUUUAAGUACUAUUUUUUCUUAAUCCCAUAGACAGAAUAUGUAAAGUAGUUAAGUUGUAGGAAAAUAUAGUUAAGAAGUAUAGGUAUGUAACUGAUUUCUACAGAGAAUAACUUACAAGAAGAGUGAGGACUUUGAGAGUACCUUGAGUCUCUUAACUAUUCUUCAUAGUAUUUCAUCUUACCAACUAAAAUUUUAGGUAGAGGGUAUGGAAAGAUUAUGUCACGAAUACCAACACCCUGUCCUCACUGAGAUUUACCUACAGACACGUAAUACCAGUUGUGACAAUCUAACCUUUCCUGGAUGUGUUUUUGGAGGCAGGUGGAUAUUUAAGCCAACUUAAUAAGUUGUAUUAAUGCCAUCUCUAUUUAAUGCCAUCUUCAGUUGUUCAUAGGAGACCAUCUGGAUUUAACAGUGAGGAAAAAUAUAUAACUGCUAUCAUUAAGUGGCUUAAUUUUUACUUCAUACUCAUUGGACAAGGAUUAGUUUCUGAUAUUAUUGUAGGCAGCAGAAUGAAAAGACAAGUUCCUGCCUGAA